AGAAGGUUUACCUAAAGAGGUUUGGUUCGGGUUUUUUGAAUCUGAGAGUGUAGCUUUUUG
Molecule: transfer RNA, 60 nt
Filed under: Acanthogyrus cheni
Lineage: Eukaryota; Metazoa; Acanthocephala; Eoacanthocephala; Gyracanthocephala; Quadrigyridae
Description: tRNA-Lys
Source: RNAcentral